AUUCUAUGUUGCGGGCAUUUCCUCAACAUCUCCUUGUAUCUCUCCAAAGUGUCAUAAAAGGAUUCAUACUCCAACUAUAGGAAAGAAGAGAUAUCACUCCUCAACUU
Small nucleolar RNA from Dioscorea cayenensis subsp. rotundata (Guinea yam), 107 nucleotides. NCBI's taxonomy places the organism in Eukaryota, Viridiplantae, Streptophyta, Magnoliopsida, Dioscoreales, Dioscoreaceae. The record is from RefSeq and is a predicted model, not a curated record.